AUUCUCAGUACCUUUGAGUUUAAUACUAACAAUGGUUAAACUACUGGAAUCACUAGGAUGCAAGUACAAAGGAUCUCCUAUAUCCAGUUUACCAAUCAAUGUCUGAGAAGUACUAGGAGCAGAUUCAGGAGGCAUAAUGACAAUUAAUCAACAAAACACCAAAAAAUCAAACAAACAAUAGAAGGUAAACAACAAGAACCACACAAAGAACCAACAAUCACUCAAACAAACAACAGCAGAUAAACACAAAGAACCAACAAUCAAACACACAAAGGCGAAACUGAGUCAGGGACCAG
Molecule: long non-coding RNA, 296 nt
Filed under: Helianthus annuus (common sunflower)
Lineage: Eukaryota; Viridiplantae; Streptophyta; Magnoliopsida; Asterales; Asteraceae
Source: RNAcentral